This 4163-nucleotide long non-coding RNA is filed under the name Sus scrofa (pig). Its description in RNAcentral is "lncRNA (ENSSSCG00000061087.1)". Lineage: Eukaryota; Metazoa; Chordata; Mammalia; Artiodactyla; Suidae. The record is from RNAcentral.
AGAGUAUUUUUGUUGCUGCUUUGUUAGAAAAUUAUUUUCUUCUAUAUUACAUGGAUCAGUCUACUUUUUUUCUCUUAGUAAGUAAUAUGCAAUGACUAUAAUUUACUUUUAGAAAAUUAAAGACAUUGCUAUACCUGGGAAGAUCUUCUCCGGUAUGUAUUUUUUUUUUUUUUUUUUUUUGCAGCCACAGCUUAGAAUUAGAGAAGGUGAUAGGAUAGGGCUGUACUAUUUGUGAUGCCAUGUCCUUGGAGAGCCCUGCACUAAGCUGAGUGGAUUCUAGUGAAUGGACAAUCAGCCUAGCCCCAUGGAACAAGUACAGGAUUUGGAAUCAGACAGCUCUUGACAUAAAUUCUGCCACUAGCACUUAUAAGCUCUGCUAUCUUAAGCAAUUUAACCUUCCUGAGCUUUAAUUUCUGCAGCUACUAUUUUUGGAAAGAACAGUACCCACCAGUGUGUUUACUGCUGGGGAGUAAACAAGACCAUGUAUAUAAAUGUAAAGUGCUUAACACAGCACCCGACAUGCAAUGUCAAAGACACCAUGACACUCAUGAUUAUCAUACUCGUUCAGGUCAGGGACAGGGAAGAAAAUAAUUAGGUUCUGAUGAAGAUACGCAGUUUGGUAGUAAAACAUGCUCUGUAGCAGAGCUAUUUUCCUCAAAAAGAGAUGAAUCUCUCUGAACUGUGAAUAUACAGUGUGUGAAGAAGGCAAGGUGACUUUCAGCCUUCCUAUAUUUUGGUAGCUUUGCUUGCGAAUGGUGACUGGUAACUGUUUCCCAGAAUUUGCUGUCACACUGACAUUUGAUGGUUUCUUAAUAAUUUUCCAUUUCUUCAACGUGUUAACCAUAAACUAUAGCUAUUUUGUUGGUCCAUGGCAGGCCUAAUUGUGAUGUUGAGUAAUUGCUUGGCACACAGAAAAGAUUGCCUUCUAUAUUUAAACAUGUUUAUCAAUCAUGCCUUCCAGACACCAUCUGCCCAAGGAGGGCCACAACAAGUGGAAGUCCAGAGAAGGAUGACUUUGGGAGGAAGCCUCUCCCAGGAGCAUAGAAUAGAGCCCGUCUGGCACUAAUGAUUGUUCAAGGUGGAUGAGGAGAGGGAAAGAGGAAAGUGCACUUAAAGAAAAUUCUUAACUUGCUUAUUAAUUGAAAAAGGCAGGUGCCAGGCUGCUUUGAAUUCUGCUGGCAGGCUGCAAAAUGUGCCAUUUUCCCUGCUAAUAAAUCCUUCAACACAGGAGACAUCUCUAGCAAUCUUUACAGCAAGCAAUAAAGGAAAAAUUCAAUUAAUAUGAACCCCGAGGUUAACUUUAAAAAUCCUAUAGCCUCUUCUCCUACAAGUAGAGAGUUGAAAGAUAAGAAAAGGAAAGGAAAUAAGAAAAUAGAACCCACUGUCAUUAGGAAUUAAUUCAGGAGCACAUUUAGUCCAGGUUUAGUCCAGGUUCCUUAGCCUGGCAUUCAAGGUCACUUUAAUGUCCACAGAGCCCUACCUUAGACACUGCCUCUUGCAGCCUUGGUACUGGAGACAUCCUGGGAGUGAGGCUGGAGGGGGAAGGAGGCUUACUUUCUAUUUAAUUUAUGACACUUUCCACAUUUAUCUUCAUAGGUAUUCUCAUUUCUGUUUAUUAGCUGAGACACAAAGUUUAGAAGAUUUGCCGAAGGAAUACAGGUAGUAAGCGAUUGAAGUGGGACUUAAUUCCAUGAGCAUAAUUACUCUUUGCUUUCAUGUUUUCUCCCGUGGGUUCCUUGAGGGUAAGUUUUAUUAUUUAUGUAGCAUUUUAAGUUUAUUCUUUAUUAUUAUUAAUAACAUACACUCAACUCGGAAUACUCGGUAACAAAGAAAAACCAAAGAUGUUUAAGAACUUAAACUUUAUUUUUGCUAAUAAUUUGAUUUGCAUGCUUCCAUUCAUUUGUGUGUGUGUGUGUGUGUUUGUGCAACUGCUUAGACAUAAUCACACCAUUUGGAAACUGACAUAAUGGCUAAGAGUGAGUAGAAUAGAUUGAUACAAAUCUAGACCUGGACCUGAAUCUUUUACUGUUGUUUUACAUUGAAUACAUUUCAUAACCUUUUUGACCCUCAGUUUUCUCAUCUGGCGAAAAUAAAAGUCUUUCUAAAUUUCCAUUUCCUCAUUUAUAAAAUGGGCAUAAUAACAUUUCAUAAAUACUUUCUGAGAAUUAAACCACGUUGUUAAUGUAAAACAGAUAACAGACACAUUUGAUUAGCUAUUGUUAUAAUAACAACAACAAUGAUUACUGUGGUUAUUAUCAUUAUCAGCAAUAUUUCUUUGUCAAUACAUAUUCUUUCACAGUAGUAUUUCUCAACCUUUGUUUAAUACUGACCUGCAAAGGAGCUCUUAGUGACAUUUUUCCCCCUGAAUGGUGCCCCCCACCAUGAAAUUUUAACACUGGAUAUAUUGCAUGUAUCUGUAUGUAUAUUUGCACUUUAUACAUACAAAGAGCAAGAUUUUCUUCACCCUUGCAAGGCAGUAUUUUAAGCCCCUACUGAAAAUACAUACAUACAUAUGUCUAUGGCAUGAUUUAUAAUAGCGUAUUGCAGUCCAAUAUCUAGAUAAAUUACAAUUUACAUCAUUAAGACUGUUAUUAAAUAUUUGGGUUAUUUUGAAUGUUUUCCUAUUUUUUUGGUUAUAUAUAAUGAACAUAUUGUGCGUGUGUGUAUAUUUCCUUAAAGAGACAAACAUAAUUUUGUGUACAGCUAGAGACACCAAUGGCAUGUCUCAAAGAGCCAGUCAGGAUUCAACUCCAGGCUUUCCCUUCAGACUUUCUUUACUCACUUUCUACAUAGCACUCUACACCCCAGCAUAAUGAAUGUAGCUCCCAACCAAUCCAUGUUUUCUUUUCUUGUGUAUUCCACUCAGUGGUUGGUUGUCAACAAGACACUAUGAAUCCUAACUGGUUCAAUAUAAGUAUCCAUAUUUCUGCCCAGUGGUGUCACAUUUUUAAUUUGGAUUCUAAUUUAGAAGCACUUCUUCCAGCCACACUGAAAGUAGGUUCAAGAGACACAAAGCAGAAAGACUACACAGAACUAGAAACCAAUUUGGGAGAAAGAAUCAGGUUUGUUAUUUUGGGGGUAAGGAUAUUUGUUUGUUUAUACCUCAAGUGUUUAUUGAGUAACUACUAUGUGUUAAGCACAUUGUAGUUAGUGUCUGCAAAAAUGACACUGAACAAGACAAAUGCUGUCACAUUCACAGAGAUGGUAAGUCUUUAAAUAGUAGUAAUGACCCCAAUACAAGAAAGUCACAUCCCCUUAGUCUAGCAAAUCAAAAGAACAGCGUGGAACAGAAAAAUGUGGAACAUGCAAGAGAAACUAAAACAGUGCUAAAACAUUGGCCUGCUCAGGAUUUUUAUCAGCUCCAUAGAGAAGAGAGAAGUGAGACUUCUUGGAAUCACACUUAUAUAAAUCUUUAAUAGUUUGUUUUAUUUUUUUGCCUAGUUUAGCUCUUGAGUAAAAUGUAGGUCAUUCCCAUUUCAUAGUGAGAGCACAGUCAUUCUUAGAGAAACUUUUUGUGAAUUUUAUAAACCUCUGAAUUAAAGAACUUUUUUGAGUUAAGAAAACCAAGUUGGAAUCUGAUGUUGAAGCUUCUUGUGGUUAGUGGGCCAAAUCAGGAAAGUAGUUCCCCCUGUACACAUGGCUCUAAGAAGGCUUACUUAAGACUGAAAGUGCUACAUGUUGUGUUUGCACAAUAUUUGAAUGUCCAUCCAUGUGUUCUGCCUGGGCUUGCUGUAUCUACUACUGCUCACAAGACCUCCCUAAACCUCCCACUUGAAUUCAGUUGUUUUUCUUUGAUGUUUCAUCAACACCUUAGAACAUACUGAGCAUAACACUGAUUUCCCAUUUCAUGACUACUGUUUUACUUCUCUCUUUUCCCCAGUAGACUAUGAUUUUCCCAAAGCAUUGGCUGUGUUUUUAUUUCUUUUUUUUUUUUUUUUUUUUUUUUUUUUUUUUUUUUUUUGCUAGGGGUCCAUUCGGAGCCGUAGCCACCAGCCUAUACACUAGAGCCACAGCAACGCGGGAUCCCAGCCGCGUCUGCAACCUACACCACAGCUCAUGGCAACACCAGAUCGUUAACCUACUGAGCAAGGGCAGGGACCGAACCUGCAAACCUCAUGGUUCCUAGUCAGAUUCGUUAACCACUGCGCCACGACGGGAACUCC